UUCACUUUGAGAGAAAUUGCAUUGUAUGACAUACUUCAGAACAAUGUGUUAAGAUUCAUUAGAACAACUUAGCGGUUAUGGACAAUCAUGAACUCUCUAAAACAACCAAAUACAAUACAGCCAAAACUGACACUCAUCGGGAUCCAGCACUGCUUCUAGAUGUUUGCCAUCUGAACACUGCAGCCCUCCAGAGACUUCUACUACUAUUAGUAAACUUGACUCCUUGUGUCAGCCAUAUAAUAAACCCUGCCUCCUUGAUACAACUGAA
Molecule: non-coding RNA, 268 nt
Organism: Rattus norvegicus (Norway rat)
Lineage: Eukaryota; Metazoa; Chordata; Mammalia; Rodentia; Muridae
Source: RefSeq, a predicted model, not a curated record